This 491-nucleotide ribosomal RNA is filed under the name uncultured Glomus. RNAcentral's name for it is "partial 18S ribosomal RNA". Lineage: Eukaryota; Fungi; Glomeromycota; Glomeromycetes; Glomerales; Glomeraceae. The record is from RNAcentral.
AAAAAUUAACAUCAUCCGAUCCCUAGUCGGCAUAGUUUAUGGUUAAGACUACGACGGUAUCUGAUCGUCUUCAAUCCCCUAACUUUCGUUCUUGAUUAAUGAAAACAUCCUUGGCAAAUGCUUUCGCAGUAGUUAGUCUUCAAUAAAUCCAAGAAUUUCACCUCUGACAAUUGAAUACUAAUGCCCCCAACUAUCCCUAUUAAUCAUUACGUCGAUCCUAGAAACCAACAAAAUAAAAUCAAAUGUCCUAUUUCGUUAUUCCAUGCUAAUGUAUUCAAGCGUGAGCCUGCUUUAAACACUCUAAUUUUUUCAAAGUAACAGUCCUGAUUCCCCAAAACACCAAAUUAAUGGCAUUAAGAUUCGUCAGAAAGGAGAAACCAAUAAUACCAGUACGUACAAAAGCACGACCAAUAAACCGGUCUCGAAAUUCAACUACGAGCUUUUUAACUGCAACAACUUUAAUAUACGCUAUUGGAGCUGGAAUUACCGCG